RNAcentral lists this ribosomal RNA (467 nucleotides) under uncultured bacterium. Its description in RNAcentral is "partial 16S ribosomal RNA". It matches the Rfam family "Bacterial small subunit ribosomal RNA", at positions 28 to 507 of the family's 1533-position model. The record is from RNAcentral.
GAUGAACGCUGGCGGCGUGCUUAACACAUGCAAGUCGAACGGAAAGGCCCAAGCUUGCUUGGGUACUCGAGUGGCGAACGGGUGAGUAACACGUGGGUGAUCUGCCCUGCACUUCGGGAUAAGCCUGGGAAACUGGGUCUAAUACCGGAUAGGACCACUUCUUGGAUGUUGUGGUGGAAAGUUUUUUCGGUGUGGGAUGAGCUCGCGGCCUAUCAGCUUGUUGGUGGGGUAAUGGCCUACCAAGGCGUCGACGGGUAGCCGGCCUGAGAGGGUGUACGGCCACAUUGGGACUGAGAUACGGCCCAGACUCCUACGGGAGGCAGCAGUGGGGAAUAUUGCACAAUGGGCGCAAGCCUGAUGCAGCGACGCCGCGGGGGGGAGGACGGCCUUCGGGUUGUAAACGCCUUUCGCUAGGGACGAAGCGUUUUGUGACGGUACCUGGAGAAGAAGCACCGGCUAACUACGUG